CUGAGUAUGAGCAUCAGCAGAAAACACUCAGUCUAAACCUCUUUGUUCUUCUCUUGCAGAGCUUGCUUGCAAAGCUGUUCUGACCACAAUGGGCGUUUUGGGCCCCUGUUUACAGGCUCCAUGUUCUGUAGCCAUAGGGGCACCACGUCUUCCUCUGCUAAGCUGCUGUUUGCUGCUGCCUUUCAGAAAUUGAGGCCAAGUAUGAUAAGAAGAUGAAGAUGCUGAGGGACGAGCUCGACCUGCGGAGAAAGACUGAGCUCCAUGAAGUGGAGGAGAGGAAGAAUGGCCAGAUCAACACGCUGAUGCAGCGCCACGAGGAGGCCUUCACUGACAUUAAGAACUACUACAAUGACAUCACCCUCAACAACCUGGCCCUCAUCAACUCCCUCAAGGAGCAGAUGGAGGACAUGCGGAAGAAGGAGGACCACCUGGAGAGGGAGAUGGCAGAGGUGUCUGUGCAGAACAAGCGCCUGGCAGACCCUCUCCAGAAGGCUCGGGAGGAGAUGAGCGAGAUGCAGAAGCAGCUGGCAAACUACGAGAGGGACAAGCAGAUCCUGCUUUGCACAAAAGCCCGUUUGAAAGUCACGGAGAAGGAGCUGAAAGACCUGCAGUGGGAGCAUGAAGUGUUAGAGCAACAAUUCACCAAGGUGCAGCAGGAGCGGGAUGAGCUUUAUCGGAAGUUCACUGCAGCCAUCCAGGAGGUGCAGCAGAAGACAGGCUUCAAGAACCUGGUGCUAGAACGCAAGCUGCAGGCUCUGAGCGCUGCUGUGGAGAAGAAGGAGGUGCAGUUCAACGAGGUCCUGGCUGCCUCUAACCUGGACCCUGCAGCCCUGACGCUGGUGUCCCGCAAGCUUGAG
This 857-nucleotide small RNA is filed under the name Pongo abelii (Sumatran orangutan). RNAcentral describes it as "retained intron". The record is from RNAcentral. Lineage: Eukaryota; Metazoa; Chordata; Mammalia; Primates; Hominidae.